UUUAAAAAAGUGGAAAUAUAAAUGAAUUAAUGAAGUGAUCAGAAAGAAGUAGAUAUGUCAAGAUACCAACAAAUUAUAUGAAAAAACAAACUGAAGCCUGGAAUCUUGUUAACACCAUGAAGUUUAAGUCUCUUGAUCAGCCCUUGGAGGAGAUGGAACAAAGCUGUGUGAUCUUUGGGUAUUGGGAGACAGCUGUCAGUCUCUUUUGAAACAACCCAGGAUGCUAUACUGCUCGAGAGCAGCACUGGGGCAUGAUCUUGAGAGGUCUCUAGAGCCUAAAGCGGUCCGUGUGCCCACUCAAAUGGAGGGACGACUAUGUAGCCUCCCAAAUCUCUGCAAAAUGAGCUUCAGGGGAAGAUCGCUAGAUGCAUUCCUCAAUGCAAAGAAGACAAAAGCUAGGCAGAAGUUACCUGUGGAGGGCGAGACUCCUCCCACCAUGGAAUUUUUCAGGUCCUCAUCCCAAUAGCUGGGCUGGAACCAAGUCAGUUCCUAGAUCAAGGUAUGAGGUUUGCUGAUAUCUUGCUAGAUGAAAACUUCACUGCUAAAAACAACAGCAUAAAAUAGGACUCAAGGGGGAGGAACCAAGAUGGCCGAAUAGGAACAGCU
Molecule: long non-coding RNA, 606 nt
Organism: Cebus imitator (Panamanian white-faced capuchin)
Lineage: Eukaryota; Metazoa; Chordata; Mammalia; Primates; Cebidae
Exons: 4
Source: RefSeq, a predicted model, not a curated record